GUAACUUUAUUUGUUGACCCACUUUGCUUUAGAGCUUACGUGAUUCUGAAGCCCGAGUUCUCCUUCCCUCUGUCCUACUAUCUCAUCCCCUUCACUGGAGUAGUCAGCAUGAUCAUCAUUGUCAUGGUCAUCAUACUGAUUGUGCGGUGCGUGCAGCACAGGAAGAGACUUCGG
This is a long non-coding RNA of Sinocyclocheilus rhinocerous, 174 nucleotides long. RefSeq lists it as uncharacterized. The transcript is spliced from 2 exons. The record is from RefSeq and is a predicted model, not a curated record. Lineage: Eukaryota; Metazoa; Chordata; Actinopteri; Cypriniformes; Cyprinidae.